GACGAACGCUGGCGGCGUGCUUAACACAUGCAAGUCGAACGGAAAGGCCCUGCUUUUGUGGGGUGCUCGAUUGGCGAACGGGUGAGUAACACGUGAGUAACCUGCCCUUGACUUUGGGAUAACUUCAGGAAACUGGGGCUAAUACCGGAUAUGAGCUCCUGCUGCAUGGUGGUGGUUGGAAAGUUUCGGCGGUUGGGGAUGGACUCGCGGCUUAUCAGCUUGUUUGUGGGGUAGUGGCUUACCAAGGCUUUGACGGGUAGCCGGCCUGAGAGGGUGACCGGCCACAUUGGGACUGAGAUGCGGCCCAGACUCCUACGGGAGGCAGCAGUGGGGAAUAUUGCACAAUGGACGGAAGCCUGAUGCAGCAACGCCGCGUGCGGGAUGACGGCCUUCGGGUUGUAAAACGCUUUCGCCUGUGACGAAGCGUGAGUGACGGUAAUGGGUAAAGAAGCACCGGCUAACUACGUG
RNAcentral lists this ribosomal RNA (468 nucleotides) under uncultured bacterium. Its description in RNAcentral is "partial 16S ribosomal RNA". It matches the Rfam family "Bacterial small subunit ribosomal RNA", at positions 28 to 507 of the family's 1533-position model. The record is from RNAcentral.